AUUGAACGCUGGCGGCAUGCCUUACACAUGCAAGUCGAACGGCAGCACGGGAGCUUGCUCCUGGUGGCGAGUGGCGAACGGGUGAGUAAUACAUCGGAACGUACCCUGAAGUGGGGGAUAACGUAGCGAAAGUUACGCUAAUACCGCAUAUUCUGUGAGCAGGAAAGAGGGGGAUCGCAAGACCUCUUGCUUUAGGAGCGGCCGAUGUCGGAUUAGCUAGUUGGUGAGGUAAAGGCUCACCAAGGCGACGAUCCGUAGCUGGUCUGAGAGGACGACCAGCCACACUGGAACUGAGACACGGUCCAGACUCCUACGGGAGGCAGCAGUGGGGAAUUUUGGACAAUGGGCGCAAGCCUGAUCCAGCCAUUCCGCGUGAGUGAAGAAGGCC
RNAcentral lists this ribosomal RNA (388 nucleotides) under uncultured bacterium. Its description in RNAcentral is "bacterial SSU rRNA". It matches the Rfam family "Bacterial small subunit ribosomal RNA", at positions 30 to 416 of the family's 1533-position model. The record is from RNAcentral.